GGCGAGAUGGCCGAGCGGUCUAAGGCGCUGGAAUCAGGUGGCUACGUAAAAAACACAAACACCCAUCCAGUCCGAAAGGGCGGGGGUUCGAAUCCCCCUCUCGUCA
RNAcentral lists this transfer RNA (106 nucleotides) under Rickenella mellea. It matches the Rfam family "tRNA". From Rfam's summary of the family: Transfer RNA (tRNA) molecules are approximately 80 nucleotides in length. Their secondary structure includes four short double-helical elements and three loops (D, anti-codon, and T loops). The record is from Rfam by way of RNAcentral. Lineage: Eukaryota; Fungi; Basidiomycota; Agaricomycetes; Hymenochaetales; Rickenellaceae.